Molecule: small nuclear RNA, 107 nt
Filed under: Tupaia belangeri (northern tree shrew)
Lineage: Eukaryota; Metazoa; Chordata; Mammalia; Scandentia; Tupaiidae
Source: RNAcentral
GUGCUCGCUUCAGCAGCACAUAUACUAAAAUUGGAACGAUACAAAGAAGAUUAGCAUGGCCCUUGCACAAGGAUGACAUGUAAAUUCGUGAAGCAUUCCGUAAUUUA